GCAUAACGCGAAGAACCUUACCGGGGCCUGACAUCUUUCUGACCGCCUGGGAAACCAGGUCUUCUUCCUUCGGGAAGACGGAAAGACAGGUGGUGCAUGGUUGUCGUCAGCUCGUGUCGUGAGAUGUUGGGUUAAGUCCCACAACGAGCGCAACCCUUGUCCUUAUUUGCCAGCCUGUUUACAGGCGUACUUUAAGGAGACUGCCGUAGAUAAUACGGAGGAAGGUGGGGAUGACGUCAAAUCCUCAUGCCCCUUACGUCCCGGGCUACACACGUGCUACAAUGGUCUGUACAGAGGGUAGCCAAGAAGCAAUUCGGAGCCAAUCCCAAAAAGCAGGCCCCAGUUCGGAUUGGAGGCUGCAACUCGCCUCCAUGAAGUCGGAAUCGCUAGUAAUCGCGGAUCAGCACGCCGCGGUGAAUCCGUUCCCGGGUCUUGUACACACC
RNAcentral lists this ribosomal RNA (443 nucleotides) under uncultured bacterium. RNAcentral's name for it is "bacterial SSU rRNA". It matches the Rfam family "Bacterial small subunit ribosomal RNA", at positions 954 to 1391 of the family's 1533-position model. The record is from RNAcentral.